Molecule: non-coding RNA, 148 nt
Filed under: Nomascus leucogenys (northern white-cheeked gibbon)
Lineage: Eukaryota; Metazoa; Chordata; Mammalia; Primates; Hylobatidae
Source: Rfam by way of RNAcentral
GCCAGGCAUGGUGGCCUGUGCCUGUAAUCCCAGCUACUAGGGAGGCUGAGGCAGGAGAAUCACUUGAGCCUGGGAGGAGGAGGUUGCAGUGAGCCGAGAUCAUGCCACUACACUCCAGCCUGGGCAACAGAGUGAGACUCUGUCUCAA